UCAGUAACUGGAAUCUGUCCCUGCAGACACACUGUAGAGCAGGGCCGGCUGGUUACUGCGC
Molecule: microRNA precursor, 61 nt
Organism: Hucho hucho (huchen)
Lineage: Eukaryota; Metazoa; Chordata; Actinopteri; Salmoniformes; Salmonidae
Source: Ensembl